UACAGAGGGUGCAAGCGUUGUUCGGAGUUACUGGGCGUAAAGAGCACGUAGGCGGAUGAAGCAGUCGGGUGUGAAAUCCCUGGGCUUAACCCAGGAACUGCGCCCGAAACCAUUCAUCUGGAGUAUGGCAGGGGAGCGGGGAAUUCCCGGUGUAGAGGUGAAAUUCGUAGAUAUCGGGAGGAACACCAGUGGCGAAGGCGCCGCUCUGGGCCAUCACUGACGCUGAGGUGCGAAAGCUUGGGGAGCAAACAGG
RNAcentral lists this ribosomal RNA (253 nucleotides) under uncultured bacterium. Its description in RNAcentral is "partial 16S ribosomal RNA". It matches the Rfam family "Bacterial small subunit ribosomal RNA", at positions 524 to 776 of the family's 1533-position model. The record is from RNAcentral.